UACGUAGGUGGCUAGCGUUGCUCGGAAUCACUGGGCGUAAAGGGUGCGUAGGCGGGCCUUUAAGUCAGGGGUGAAAUCCUGGAGCUCAACUCCAGAACUGCCUUUGAUACUGAAGAUCUUGAGUUCGGGAGAGGUGAGUGGAACUGCGAGUGUAGAGGUGAAAUUCGUAGAUAUUCGCAAGAACACCAGUGGCGAAGGCGGCUCACUGGCCCGAUACUGACGCUGAGGCACGAAAGCGUGGGGAGCAAACAGG
This 253-nucleotide ribosomal RNA is filed under the name uncultured bacterium. RNAcentral's name for it is "partial 16S ribosomal RNA". It matches the Rfam family "Bacterial small subunit ribosomal RNA", at positions 524 to 776 of the family's 1533-position model. The record is from RNAcentral.